Molecule: ribosomal RNA, 200 nt
Filed under: uncultured bacterium
Lineage: Bacteria
Description: partial 16S ribosomal RNA
Rfam family: Bacterial small subunit ribosomal RNA
Source: RNAcentral
AACGAACGCUGGCGGCGUGUUUAAGACAUGCAAGUCGCACGGGACACAUUGAGUAGUAAUACGAUGUGUGUUUAGUGGCGCACGGGUGAGUAACACGUGAAUUACAUGCCCUAUAGUGGGGAAUAGCCCAGGGAAACUUGGAUUAAUACCCCAUGGUCUCGCAAGAGUAAAGGUGGCCGCAAGGCUGUCGCUAUAGGAUU